RNAcentral lists this long non-coding RNA (611 nucleotides) under Physcomitrium patens. RNAcentral describes it as "long non-coding RNA (PPAT_LNC005594)". Lineage: Eukaryota; Viridiplantae; Streptophyta; Bryopsida; Funariales; Funariaceae. The record is from RNAcentral.
UAGGAAAUUCAGGAGGAUGGAUGAGUGAUUUAGUUAUUAAAAGUGAUUAAUUACAAUAUUACGGUUAGAAUCUGGAGAAUCAGGAGAAAGUAUACAGGAGUUGUAGAAGUUAAUUAAGGAGCCAUCACUGUAAUAGUGUGAGCCAGGAUAAGCUUGGUGCUACUUCUUUUGUUUUGUUUGUUAUUUUCUUUGAAUAAGAGGAUUGAAAGUUUCUGAAUAUUGUGAAGUGAAUUAUGGAAUGGAAAUGUGAUUGGUAUUAUUUGAGAAGAAGAAAGAUUGAAUGCUGAAAUCUAAUUGUAGUUCAGUAGAGAGAAUGAGUCUGUGUUUGUGUGAAACUCUGUAAUGUGAAUGGCAGUUUUGUGUGAAAAAUUUCAAUGAUUGGAACGAGGGUAAUUGUAUGCUGAAAGCUGUGAGGGUGCAAUAUUAUAGUUGGAGAUUAUGAAGGUGAAUAUAUUGGUGGAAAUAGCAGUUAUUGGUAUGACUGAAUUGCUGUAAGAAAGAGACCGAUAAGGUGAAGGAGGAGAUUAUAGUUUCCUUGUGUAUUCAGAUAUUGGAAAUAGAGAUGAUACAUUCAGGAGGUAAUUGAUUGUGUGAUCUUAACGUGAGCGCUU